RNAcentral lists this ribosomal RNA (253 nucleotides) under uncultured bacterium. Its description in RNAcentral is "partial 16S ribosomal RNA". It matches the Rfam family "Bacterial small subunit ribosomal RNA", at positions 524 to 776 of the family's 1533-position model. The record is from RNAcentral.
UACGAAGGGGGCUAGCGUUGCUCGGAAUCACUGGGCGUAAAGGGUGCGUAGGCGGGUCUUUAAGUCAGGGGUGAAAUCCUGGAGCUCAACUCCAGAACUGCCUUUGAUACUGAAGAUCUUGAGUUCGGGAGAGGUGAGUGGAACUGCGAGUGUAGAGGUGAAAUUCGUAGAUAUCAGGAAGAACACCCGUGGCGAAGGCGGCUCUCUGGGACGGUACUGACGCUGAGACGCGAAAGCGUGGGGAGCGAACAGG